Lupinus albus (white lupine) is the source of this 377-nucleotide non-coding RNA. NCBI's taxonomy places the organism in Eukaryota, Viridiplantae, Streptophyta, Magnoliopsida, Fabales, Fabaceae. The record is from the annotation of a GenBank genome assembly.
UGACCCCAAAGCUUCAAAUUCAGAUUCCCUUAUGCUCUUAGCAUAUACUCAUAUACCGUGAUGAAAAAUAUUGGGCCGAUGGGCUUAGGAUAAAAGCCCAAAAGGCCCAAAAAAGGAUCAGGUUUUUGCUAGGUCGAUAUAAACCUCAGAAUCAGAGAACAUUGCAUACUCUGUUUAAAGAAAGGUAGCAGCGUUCUCUUCGCCGCCACUCUCUCUUUCACACUCCUUCAGCUCUAGUUGUGUGAAAAACAAGGCUAGCCAAAAUGGUGAAGUUCACAGCUGAAGAGCUUAGGCGUAUUAUGGACUACAAGCACAAUAUCCGUAACAUGUCUGUGAUUGCCCAUGUUGAUCAUGGUAUGGAGUAAUCAUAAAGAUAC